AGCAGCCGCGGUAAUUCCAGCUCCAAUAGCGUAUAUUAAAGUUGUUGCAGUUAAAAAGCUCGUAGUUGAAUUUCGGGAUCAAUACGUCGGUCGUGCCUCUGGUAUGUACUGGUGUUAUUGAUUUCUCCCUUCUGAUGAACCAUGAUGUCAUUCAUUUGGUGUUGUGUGGAGUCAGGACUGUUACUUUGAGAAAAUUAGAGUGUUUAAAGCAGGCUCACGCUUGAAUACAUUAGCAUGGAAUAAUGAAAUAGGACGUUCGAUCCUAUUUUGUUGGUUUCUAGGAUCAACGUAAUGAUUAAUAGGGAUAGUUGGGGGCAUUAGUAUUCAAUUGUCAGAGGUGAAAUUCUUGGAUUUAUUGAAGACUAACUACUGCGAAAGCAUUUGCCAAGGGUGUUCUCAUUAAUCAAGAACGAAAGUUAGGGGAUCGAAGACGAUCAGAUACCGUCGUAGUCUUAACCAUAAACUAUGCCGA
This 472-nucleotide ribosomal RNA is filed under the name uncultured Glomus. Its description in RNAcentral is "SSU rRNA". It matches the Rfam family "Eukaryotic small subunit ribosomal RNA", at positions 569 to 1045 of the family's 1831-position model. Lineage: Eukaryota; Fungi; Glomeromycota; Glomeromycetes; Glomerales; Glomeraceae. The record is from RNAcentral.